UUCCAUGGGCGGGCCUUGGCAUGGAGACCUACGGGUCUGCCGGUUUUGGUUCUACGCCGGUCUGUCGACCUGUCACUGUGCCCGCUCACCACC
RNAcentral lists this non-coding RNA (93 nucleotides) under Paraburkholderia sp. BL6665CI2N2. Lineage: Bacteria; Pseudomonadati; Pseudomonadota; Betaproteobacteria; Burkholderiales; Burkholderiaceae. The record is from RNAcentral.